RNAcentral lists this ribosomal RNA (255 nucleotides) under uncultured bacterium. RNAcentral describes it as "partial 16S ribosomal RNA". It matches the Rfam family "Bacterial small subunit ribosomal RNA", at positions 524 to 776 of the family's 1533-position model. The record is from RNAcentral.
UACGUAGGGUGCAAGCGUUAAUCGGAAUUACUGGGCGUAAAGCGUGCGCAGGCGGUUAUGUAAGACAGUUGUGAAAUCCCCGGGCUCAACCUGGGAACUGCAUCUGUGACUGCAUAGCUAGAGUACGGUAGAGGGGGAUGGAAUUCCGCGUGUAGCAGUGAAAUGCGUAGAGAUGUGGAGGAAUACCGAUGGCGAAGGCAGCCCCCUGGGAUAACACUGACGCUCAUGCACGAAAAGCGUGGGGGAGCAAACAGG